RNAcentral lists this ribosomal RNA (398 nucleotides) under uncultured bacterium. RNAcentral's name for it is "bacterial SSU rRNA". It matches the Rfam family "Bacterial small subunit ribosomal RNA", at positions 28 to 414 of the family's 1533-position model. The record is from RNAcentral.
GACGAACGCUGGCGGCGUGCCUAACACAUGCAAGUCGAGCGGGGUCCAUCCGGUAGCAAUACCGGGGAAGACCUAGCGGCGAACGGGUGAGUAACACGUGAGAAACCUGCCCCGAAGUCUGGGAUAACCCGAGGAAACUCGAGCUAAUACCGGAUGUCUUCUUCUGAUCGCAUGGUCGGAUGAAGAAAAGAUUUAUCGCUUCGGGAGGGUCUCGCGGCCUAUCAGCUAGUUGGCGGGGUAACGGCCCACCAAGGCGUCGACGGGUAGCUGGUCUGAGAGGACGAUCAGCCACACUGGGACUGAGACACGGCCCAGACUCCUACGGGAGGCAGCAGUGGGGAAUAUUGCGCAAUGGGCGGAAAGACCUGACGCAGCAACGCCGCGUGCGGGAGUGAAGG